AUAUUAAUUGUGUGUUUUUAUUGUUUAAAAGAAAAACUAAAUGGUUAAAAAAAAACUGGAAACAAUUGUGGCAGUUAUAAGCUUUAGGGCAGGUGUUACCAAUUGUGGACGUUCGCACUUUUCUUAUAUAAUUCCAUAGAGAAGAGAAGCAAAUGCUUACAACACCGAGGCGGUAGUAAACCAGGAGCGCGAGGACACACGGUGGCCCAGCACAGAGCCCAUCCAACACUUUGUGCGCGCGAAAGGAGGCGAGGACAAUGCCGAUUGAGGAAGAUGCCGGUUAGCAUCUUGUUCUCCAAGGAAAAGGCGGAGAGGAGCAGCGAAUGGAGCGGUCAACGCAGAGGGCUGAGCCAGAUCGUGGAAUGGCAGUGGAAAAAUUAGCACUUUUUCCCCUUGCAGUGGGUUAGCCAUCAUUCGUCUCCCACUCUGUUUUGUGACAGUCAUCUGCGUAGAGAAUUUUUCUGCUGGCGACACAAAAAUAACUUUUGGACCGGCUCGGAGUGGAUUUUCGUGAAUUUUACAGCAGGGAAUCAGAAUCACUGUUUUUUGUUUGGUUUUUACUACUGAAUAACCCAGUGCAAUUAAAACCCUUUGGGGGUGAAAGCAGCUCCAAGACGAGGGAGGAGAGCGUCCGCACAGCCCAGGACCCUGGUUCACCGGGAACGGUGGCUGCUGCCGGGCAAUCCUGGGAGAACGCUUAGAAGGCGGAGAGCGGGGGCACCCAGCCUGCGCAGCGAGUGUGCGCGCGCUCUGGUGCGAGUCUCCGGAGCUGUGCACCCAGCCGCCGCAGCCAGUCAUCUCGUUUCUGCCUUACACUUCCCUACAUUUUCUGAAGGUUUUGCAAAUAGCUUUGCAAACAGUAUGUGUUGGUUUUCAUAUUUUCUUUUAAAAAAUAAUAAUAAAGGAAAGCCCUCGUCCUUUUACCAGGCGCCCCACCUGAAGGGACCACUCGGGCUUCAUUUUGCCUGUCGCGGCUCAAGCAAGACCCAGUCGGCCCCGCGUCCCCUCCAAACCCUGUUCGCUCUUCUCUGCAGGAGCCCUCCGGGUCCUCCCGGACACUGCGCCCAGACCCUGGGCCUCCAGACUUGGGCCUUACUUGGGCUCCCUUGGGCAGGGGCUCCCCACGCCCCCGAGCGGAGGGGUGCCCCUGCCUGCUGUCCGAGGCGCGCUAGCAGUGAGGCGCUCCUUCGGCUUUCAGAUCACAGAGAGGGGCCAAGGGAUACGGAGCGUUUUCGCUGGGCGAGCUGCCUACGGAGGAGGUUACCGGCGGAUGCGGAGACUGCUGAGCAGGGAUUAAGGGAUGGAGAAAAGGGUAUCUAA
RNAcentral lists this long non-coding RNA (1320 nucleotides) under Ursus maritimus (polar bear). Its description in RNAcentral is "lncRNA (ENSUMAG00000009679.1)". Lineage: Eukaryota; Metazoa; Chordata; Mammalia; Carnivora; Ursidae. The record is from RNAcentral.